CCUACGGGUGGCAGCAGUGGGGAAUAUUGCACAAUGGGGGAAACCCUGAUGCAGCGACGCCGCGUGAGUGAAGAAGUAUUUCGGUUCGUAAAGCUCUAUCAGCAGGGAAGAUAAUGACGGUACUUGACUAAGAAGCCCCGGCUAACUACGUGCCAGCAGCCGCGGUAAUACGUAGGGGGCAAGCGUUAUCCGGAUUUACUGGGGGUAAAGGGAGCGUAGAAGGCUGCGCAAGUCAGGAGUGAAAUGCCGGGGCCCAACCCGGGGACGGCCCUGGAAACUGUGAAGCUGGAGUGCAGGAGAGGUAAGUGGAAUUCCUGGUGUAGCGGUGAAAUGCGUAGAUAUCAGGAGGAACACCGGCGGCGAAGGCGGCUUACUGGACUGUAACUGACGUUGAGGCACGAAGGCGUGGGGAGCAAACAGGAUUAGAUACCCCUGUAGUC
Molecule: ribosomal RNA, 440 nt
Filed under: uncultured bacterium
Lineage: Bacteria
Description: partial 16S ribosomal RNA
Rfam family: Bacterial small subunit ribosomal RNA
Source: RNAcentral